RNAcentral lists this unclassified non-coding RNA (399 nucleotides) under Zea mays. RNAcentral's name for it is "misc RNA Zm00001eb002500". Lineage: Eukaryota; Viridiplantae; Streptophyta; Magnoliopsida; Poales; Poaceae. The record is from RNAcentral.
GUGGGAACGUGCAAUCUACCUUGAGAGCGCUGCAGAUGUUCUGGAUCUCGGCAUUAUAGUUGACUUUCUCCGUGGUCAUGACGAGCUCGACGACGCCGAGGCAUACCCGGCUGCGGGGCUCGAAGAUGGGGAGCGCGACGCUGCCGCGGAUGUCGAAGUACUGCGCGUGGUGUACGCGAGGGUACUCCUCGGUGGAGAAGUAGCGGACGUCGGGGGUCCACUCGGGGACGCGGCCGACGAAGACGCGGCCGGGCAUCCCCAGGUCGGUGCGCGCGGUCUCGUCGGCGGAGAACUGGUACUUCAUGGACACCGUCCGGUAGUUGGCGAGGCGCUCGUUCCGGCAGUCGAGCCAGAAGGGCUGGCCGCACGUGGUGAGCACCUGGCGGUCGCCGAUGACGG